RNAcentral lists this ribosomal RNA (480 nucleotides) under uncultured bacterium. RNAcentral describes it as "partial 16S ribosomal RNA". It matches the Rfam family "Bacterial small subunit ribosomal RNA", at positions 29 to 523 of the family's 1533-position model. The record is from RNAcentral.
AAUGAACGCUGGCGGCGUGGAUAAGACAUGCAAGUCGAACGGAGUUAGCAAUAAGCUUGCUUAAGGCAAACUCAGUGGCGAACGGGUGAGUAACACGUGAAUAAUCUGCCUUGAAGUGGGGGAUAGCCCUGGGAAACUAGGAUUAAUACCGCAUGUGGUCGAGAGACUAAAGCAGCAAUGCGCUUUAAGACGAGUUCGCGUCCUAUUAGCCAGUUGGUGAGGUAACUGCUCACCAAGGCCUUGAUAGGUAGCCGGUCUGAGAGGAUGUCCGGCAACACUGGAACUGGGACACGGUCCAGACACCUACGGGUGGCAGCAGUCGAGAAUCAUUCACAAUGGGGGCAACCCUGAUGGUGCGACGCCGCGUGGGGGAAGAAUGUCUUCGGAUUGUAAACCCCUGUCAUGUGGGAGUAAGCUAGUGAUAGUUGAUAGUACCACAAGAGGAAGAGACGGCAAACUCUGUGCCAGCCGCCGCGGUAA